Molecule: ribosomal RNA, 322 nt
Filed under: uncultured eukaryote
Lineage: Eukaryota
Description: partial 18S ribosomal RNA
Rfam family: Eukaryotic small subunit ribosomal RNA
Source: RNAcentral
CCCUUAGAUGUUCUGGGCCGCACGCGUGCUACACUGAGUAAAUCAAUGGGUAAGGGAACACGAAAGUGCAACCUAAUCUUGAAAUUUGCUCGUGAUGGGGAUCGACGGUUGCAAUUUUCCGUCGUGAACGAGGAAUACCUUGUAGGCGCGUGUCAUCAUCACGCGCCGAAUACGUCCCUGCCCUUUGUACACACCGCCCGUCGCUCCUACCGAUUGAGUGAUCCGGUGAGGCUCUGGGACCUGGACGGAAAGAGCGUUUCGCUUGUUCUGUUUGGGAAACUUGGUCGAACCUUAUCAUUUAGAGGAAGGAGAGGUCGUAACA